CGCGCGGUACCGGCCUAAGUUCCUUGGAACAGGGCGUCAUAGAGGGUGAGAAUCCCGUAUGCGGCCGGCCUCCAAGCCCGCAGGAAACUCCUUCGACGAGUCGAGUUGUUUGGGAAUGCAGCUCUAAAUGGGUGGUAAAUUUCAUCUAAAGCUAAAUACCGGCCAGAGACCGAUAGCGCACAAGUAGAGUGAUCGAAAGAUGAAAAGCACUUUGGAAAGAGAGUCAAAAAGUACGUGAAAUUGUUGAAAGGGAAGCGCUUGCGACCAGACCUGCCCGCGGGUGCUCAGCGGCGGUUCUCCCCCGUGUACUCGCCCGCGAACAGGCCAGCAUCGGUUCGGGCGGCCGGAGAAUGGCCUGGGGAAUGUAGCUCCCCUCGGGGAGUGUUAUAGCCCUGGGCGUCAUGCGGCCAGCCCGGACCGAGGACCGCGCUUCGGCAAGGAUGCUGGCGUAAUGGCCGCAAGCGACCCGUCUUGAAACACGGACCAAGGAGUCUAUUAGGUAUGCGAGUGUUUGGGUGUCAACCCACACGCGCAAUGAAAGUGAACGGAGGUGGGAGCCCGUACGGGUGCACCAUCGACCGGUCCUGAAGUUUACGGAUGGAUCCGAGUAUGAGCACACCUAAUGGGACCCGAAAGAUGGUGAACUAUGCCUGAGCAGGGUGAAGCCAGAGGAAACUCUGGUGGAGGCUCGCAGCCGUUCUGACGUGCAAAUCGAUGGACAGACUUGGGUAUAGGGUACGUAUUGAUAUGACUUAAUUGGUUUCUCUCGGCCGUGAAACGCUAACAGUAUAAUGUACAGGGCGAAAGACUAAUCGAACCAUCUGUUUUUUUUUUUUUGGCCUAAGCGUUGAGCAUAGCUUAAUUCUUCUCGCUACUAGGUGGUUGAGGAAGAGGCGUACCUGAACGGAGGUAUAGACAACUCUUAGCCUUUCGAGGUUAUAGUGCUAAAGUGCAUCGGCUGCUGCUGCAACGCAGUAUUUUCAACAUGCAGCGGGUUGCCGAGCAACAACUCGGACCCGUUCACAGACCAAAUAGCACUGGCUGGGUUCAAACGCCCGGUCACUUUGAUAUGGCCGAGUCCCACUCCGCACGGAGUUGGUUUCGGGAAGAGCACCACAGGGGUUUCCCUCCCUGUUGCUCCCUGGAACCGAAGGGUCCCGACGCUAGUAGCUGGUUCCUGCCGAAGUUUCGUAAGUACCACUUUGCUUCCCAAGCAACGACCCUUCACAAGACAUUCACUAACAAUAUCGUACAGCCUCAGGAUAGCAGUGACGUUUUCAGUUUUAUGAGGUAGAGCGAAUGAUUAGGGUCUCUGGGGGCGCUACUAAAUGCCCUCGAACCAUUCUCAAACUCCGAAUGUGUAAGAAGUCCCCGUUGCUUAAUUGAACGGGGACAUUUGAAUGCACCGUCACUAGUGGGCCAUUUUUGGUAAGCAGAACUGGCGAUGCGGGAUGAACCGAACGCGAGGUUAAGGUGCCGGAAUGCACGCUCAUCAGACACCACAAAAGGUGUUGAUUCAUCUAGACAGCCGGACGGUGGCCAUGGAAGUCGGAAUCCGCUAAGGAGUGUGUGUAACCGUUUUCAACCCCCUUCGACCUCUGUCCGGGCGCGGCACGACACUAACGGA
This 1627-nucleotide ribosomal RNA is filed under the name Lecania falcata. Its description in RNAcentral is "LSU rRNA". It matches the Rfam family "Eukaryotic large subunit ribosomal RNA", at positions 167 to 1288 of the family's 3401-position model. The record is from RNAcentral. Lineage: Eukaryota; Fungi; Ascomycota; Lecanoromycetes; Lecanorales; Ramalinaceae.